AUUGAACGCUGGCGGAAUGCUUUACACAUGCAAGUCGAACGGCAGCACGGACUUCGGUCUGGUGGCGAGUGGCGAACGGGUGAGUAAUACAUCGGAACGUGCCCAAUCGUGGGGGAUAACGUAGCGUAAGCUACGCUAAUACCGCAUACGAUCUAAGGAUGAAAGCGGGGGAUCGCAAGACCUCGCGCGAUUGGCGCGGCCGAUGGCAGAUGAGGCAGUUGGUAGGGUAAAGGCCUACCAAGCCGACGAUCUGUGGCUGGUUUGAGAGGAUGAUCAGCCACACUGGGACGGGGACACGGGCCAGACUCCUACGGGAGCCAGCAGUGGGGAAUUUUGGACAAUGGCCGCAAGUCUGAUCCAGCCAUUCCGCGUGCAUGAUGAAGGCCCUCGGGUUGUAAACUGCUUUUGUACAGAACGAAAAGGCUCUGGUUAAUACCUAGGGCUCAUGACGUUACUGUAAGAAUAAGCACCGGCUAACUACGUGCCAGCCGCCGCCGUAA
This 500-nucleotide ribosomal RNA is filed under the name uncultured bacterium. Its description in RNAcentral is "partial 16S ribosomal RNA". It matches the Rfam family "Bacterial small subunit ribosomal RNA", at positions 30 to 523 of the family's 1533-position model. The record is from RNAcentral.